AUUGAACGCUAGCGGGAUGCUUUACACAUGCAAGUCGAACGGCAGCGCGGACUUCGGUCUGGCGGCGAGUGGCGAACGGGUGAGUAAUGUAUCGGAACGUGCCCAGUAGCGGGGGAUAACUACGCGAAAGCGUAGCUAAUACCGCAUACGCCCUACGGGGGAAAGCCGGGGAUCGUAAGACCUUGCACUAUUGGAGCGGCCGAUAUCGGAUUAGCUAGUUGGUGAGGUAACGGCUCACCAAGGCGACGAUCCGUAGCUGGUUUGAGAGGACGACCAGCCACCCGGGGACGGAGAAACGGCCCAGACACCUGAGGGGGGCAACAGUUGGGAAUUUUGGGCAAUGGGGGCAACCCUGAUCCAGCCAUCCCGCGUGUGCGAUGAAGGCCUUCGGGUUGUAAAGCACUUUUGGCAGGAAAGAAACGUCGCGGGCUAAUACCCCGUGGAACUGACGGUACCUGCAGAAUAAGCACCGGCUAACUACGUG
Molecule: ribosomal RNA, 484 nt
Filed under: uncultured bacterium
Lineage: Bacteria
Description: partial 16S ribosomal RNA
Rfam family: Bacterial small subunit ribosomal RNA
Source: RNAcentral